GAGGUAAACAGUGAGAUUGUUGCUACUGAUUGCAUGCAUGUAGUUUUCUUUGUUUUCAUCUUCUCAGUAAUAUUAGUUUUUGCAUGACAACAAUAUUGACACUAAGAAGAUUGCCAGAGAAAAUAAUUGUUACAGGGGAUUGUAUGCUGUCAUGUUUUUUCUAGCAACUCUUCUUUCCUUCUUUGAAACUAUAUAUAAAUUUAGGGACUGACUUGGAAAUUAAUAAAAAAAAAUAAUAACCGUGUUUGGGUAGUUGAAGGAAAUUAAGUGACGUCUCAGGAAUAGCCCUUAAGUUCUGAGUCUGAGACUCAAACUAAGGCAGCUGGAAGCCCGUAUUGAUCAGCUAACAUCUCUCUCAGAUUGCUACAAUUUCAUAGCUGGUGGAAUCCAACCAACCCUUUCUUUAUAUAGAGAAUGCAGAAGGAAAAACGAAAACAAUCCAAAGAUGAAGAAAACGAUUCAUCCUCGCGAAAGAGAAGAAAAGCAGACCUCAGUAAGCCUGUUAGUUUUGUCUCCACAGCUUCCAUGACAGAGCUAGAGUCGUCUCGAUCUAGGCCAAAAGGUGGGGGAAUAGGAUUUAUUUUUUGAUGAUUUUUUUUUUCUAAGCUCAGGGCAUGGCAUGGAAUGUCUAUCCAACUUGAGGUAUCUAAGAAUGAAUAAAUACAGUGAAAAGAAGUUUUCCGGUGGAAUAUUACCUAAACUCUCUCACCUGCAAGUCUUUAUACCAGAGGAGUGGUUUCCUAUCAUUGGGCUGUGAUUGCUUGAAAAGUUAUCCAACUUGGUUGAAAUAUU
Long non-coding RNA from Populus trichocarpa (black cottonwood), 792 nucleotides. RefSeq lists it as uncharacterized. The record is from RefSeq and is a predicted model, not a curated record. The transcript has 3 exons. NCBI's taxonomy places the organism in Eukaryota, Viridiplantae, Streptophyta, Magnoliopsida, Malpighiales, Salicaceae.